RNAcentral lists this ribosomal RNA (465 nucleotides) under uncultured bacterium. Its description in RNAcentral is "partial 16S ribosomal RNA". It matches the Rfam family "Bacterial small subunit ribosomal RNA", at positions 28 to 507 of the family's 1533-position model. The record is from RNAcentral.
GACGAACGCUGGCGGCGUGCUUAACACAUGCAAGUCGAACGGAAAGGCCCUGCUUGCAGGGUCCUCGAGUGGCGAACGGGUGAGUAACACGUGGGUGAUCUGCCCUGCACUUCGGGAUAAGCCUGGGAAACUGGGUCUAAUACCGGAUAGGAGCCAUUUUUAGUGUGAUGGUUGGAAAGUUUUUUCGGUGUAGGAUGAGCUCGCGGCCUAUCAGCUUGUUGGUGGGGUAAUGGCCUACCAAGGCGGCGACGGGUAGCCGGCCUGAGAGGGUGGACGGCCACAUUGGGACUGAGAUACGGCCCAGACUCCUACGGGAGGCAGAAGGGGGGAAUAUUGCACAAUGGGCGCAAGCCGGAUGCAGCGACGCCGCGUGGGGGAUGACGGCCUUCGGGUUGAAAACGCAUUUCGCUAGGGACGAAGCUUUUUGUGACGGUACCUAGAUAAGAAGCACCGGCUAACUACGUG